GACAGAGGGUGCAAACGUUGUUCGGAAUUACUGGGCGUAAAGCGCGUGUAGGCGGCUGCGCAAGUCGGAUGUGAAAUCCCGUGGCUCAACCACGGAAGUGCACCCGAAACUGCGUAGCUUGAGUCUCGGAGAGGAAGGUGGAAUGCUUGGUGUAGAGGUGAAAUUCGUAGAUAUCAAGCGGAACACCGGUGGCGAAGGCGACUUGCUGGACACAUAUUGACGCUGAGGUGCGAAAGCGUGGGGAGCAAACAGG
This 253-nucleotide ribosomal RNA is filed under the name uncultured bacterium. RNAcentral's name for it is "partial 16S ribosomal RNA". It matches the Rfam family "Bacterial small subunit ribosomal RNA", at positions 524 to 776 of the family's 1533-position model. The record is from RNAcentral.